Molecule: transfer RNA, 66 nt
Filed under: marine eukaryotic metagenome
Rfam family: tRNA
About the family: Transfer RNA (tRNA) molecules are approximately 80 nucleotides in length. Their secondary structure includes four short double-helical elements and three loops (D, anti-codon, and T loops).
Source: RNAcentral
ACAUAGCUCAGCAGGUAGAGCACUUCCUUGGUAAGGAAGAGGUCAUCGGUUCAAAUCCGAUUGUGA